UAAUCGGGGCAGGGUGAGUCGACCCCUAAGGCGAGGCCGAAAGGCGUAGUCGAUGGGAAACGGGUUAAUAUUCCCGUACUUGGUGUUACUGCGAAGGGGGGACGGAGAAGGCUAUGUUGGCCGGGCGACGGUUGUCCCGGUUUAAGCGUGUAGGUGUGUGUUCCAGGUAAAUCCGGUUCACUUUAACACUGAGGCGUGACGACGAGGCACUACGGUGCUGAAGCAACAAAUGCCCUGCUUCCAGGAAAAGCCUCUAAGCAUCAGGUAACAYSAAAUCGUACCCCAAACCGACACAGGUGGUCAGGUAGAGAAUACCAAGGCGCUUGAGAGAACUCGGGUGAAGGAACUAGGCAAAAUGGUGCCGUAACUUCGGGAGAAGGCACGCUGACACGUAGGUGAAGUGAUUUACUCAUGGAGCUGAAGUCAGUCGAAGAUACCAGCUGGCUGCAACUGUUUAUUAAAAACACAGCACUGUGCAAACACGAAAGUGGACGUAUACGGUGUGACGCCUGCCCGGUGCCGGAAGGUUAAUUGAUGGGGUCAGCGCAAGCGAAGCUCCUGAUCGAAGCCCCGGUAAACGGCGGCCGUAACUAUAACGGUCCUAAGGUAGCGAAAUUCCUUGUCGGGUAAGUUCCGACCUGCACGAAUGGCGUAAUGAUGGCCAGGCUGUCUCCACCCGAGACUCAGUGAAAUUGAACUCGCUGUGAAGAUGCAGUGUACCCGCGGCAAGACGGAAAGACCCCGUGAACCUUUACUAUAGCUUGACACUGAACAUUGAGCCUUGAUGUGUAGGAUAGGUGGGAGGCUUUGAAGUGUGGACGCCAGUCUGCAUGGAGCCGACCUUGAAAUACCACCCUUUAAUGUUUGAUGUUCUAACGUGGACCCGUWAYCCGGGUUGCGGACAGUGUCUGGUGGGUAGUUUGACUGGGGCGGUCUCCUCCUAAAGAGUAACGGAGGAGCACGAAGGUUGGCUAAUCCUGGUCGGACAUCAGGAGGUUAGUGCAAUGGCAUAAGCCAGCUUGACUGCGAGCGUGACGGCGCGAGCAGGUGCGAAAGCAGGUCAUAGUGAUCCGGUGGUUCUGAAUGGAAGGGCCAUCGCUCAACGGAUAAAAGGUACUCCGGGGAUAACAGGCUGAUACCGCCCAAGAGUUCAUAUCGACGGCGGUGUUUGGCACCUCGAUGUCGGCUCAUCACAUCCUGGGGCUGAAGUAGGUCCCAAGGGUAUGGCUGUUCGCCAUUUAAAGUGGUACGCGAGCUGGGUUUAGAACGUCGUGAGACAGUUCGGUCCCUAUCUGCCGUGGGCGCUGGAGAACUGAGGGGGGCUGCUCCUAGUACGAGAGGACCGGAGUGGACGCAUCACUGGUGUUCGGGUUGUCAUGCCAAUGGCACUGCCCGGUAGCUAAAUGCGGAAGAGAUAAGUGCUGAAAGCAUCUAAGCACGAAACUUGCCCCGAGAUGAGUUCUCCCUGAGACUUAGAGUCUCCUGAAGGAACGUUGAAGACGACGACGUUGAUAGGCCGGGUGUGUAAGCGCAGCGAUGCGUUGAGCUAACCGGUACUAAUGAACCGUGAGGCUUAACCUU
Molecule: ribosomal RNA, 1581 nt
Filed under: Salmonella enterica
Lineage: Bacteria; Pseudomonadati; Pseudomonadota; Gammaproteobacteria; Enterobacterales; Enterobacteriaceae
Description: partial 23S ribosomal RNA
Source: RNAcentral